This 253-nucleotide ribosomal RNA is filed under the name uncultured bacterium. RNAcentral's name for it is "partial 16S ribosomal RNA". It matches the Rfam family "Bacterial small subunit ribosomal RNA", at positions 524 to 776 of the family's 1533-position model. The record is from RNAcentral.
UACAGAGGGGGCAAGCGUUGUUCGGAAUUACUGGGCGUAAAGGGCGCGUAGGCGGCCUGUUAAGUCGAACGUGAAAUCCCUGGGCUCAACCCGGGAACUGCGUCCGAUACUGGCAGGCUUGAAUCCGGGAGAGGGAUGCGGAAUUCCAGGUGUAGCGGUGAAAUGCGUAGAUAUCUGGAGGAACACCGGUGGCGAAGGCGGCAUCCUGGACCGGCAUUGACGCUGAGGCGCGAAAGCCAGGGGAGCAAACGGG